AACGAACGCUGGCGGCAGGCCUAACACAUGCAAGUCGAGCGCUCACUUCGGUGGGAGCGGCGGACGGGUUAGUAACGCGUGGGAACAUACCCUUUUCUAUGGAAUAGCCUUUGGAAACGAAGAGUAAUACCAUAUACGCCCUUCGGGGAAAGAUUUAUCGGUGAAGGAUUGGCCCGCGUUAGAUUAGAUAGUUGGUGGGGUAAUGGCCUACCAAGUCUACGAUCUAUAGCUGGUUUUAGAGGAUGAUCAGCAACACUGGGACUGAGACACGGCCCAGACUCCUACGGGAGGCAGCAGUGGGGAAUCUUAGACAAUGGGCGAAAGCCUGAUCUAGCCAUGCCGCGUGUGUGAUGAAGGUCUUAGGAUCGUAAAGCACUUUCGCCAGGGAUGAUAAUGACAGUACCUGGUAAAGAAACCCCGGCUAACUCCGUGCCAGCAGCCGCGGUAA
Molecule: ribosomal RNA, 448 nt
Filed under: uncultured bacterium
Lineage: Bacteria
Description: bacterial SSU rRNA
Rfam family: Bacterial small subunit ribosomal RNA
Source: RNAcentral